Molecule: microRNA precursor, 82 nt
Organism: Cricetulus griseus (Chinese hamster)
Lineage: Eukaryota; Metazoa; Chordata; Mammalia; Rodentia; Cricetidae
Gene: Mir711
Product: microRNA 711
Source: Ensembl
CAUGUGCCUAACUUUGAAUUUCUUCUUAGGGUGCUUCAGGCAAAGCCGGGGACCCUGGGAGAGAUGUAAGUUAGGGGAGAUG